UGAGGAAUAUUGGUCAAUGGGCGGAAGCCUGAACCAGCCAAGUCGCGUGAAGGAUGAAGGUAUUAUGUAUUGUAAACUUCUUUAGCAGUGGAGAAAUAAUGGGCUCGUGAGCCCAGAUGCUAGUACACUGAGAAUAAGGAUCGGCUAACUCCGUGCCAGCAGCCGCGGUAAUACGGAGGAUGCGAGCGUUAUCCGGAUUUAUUGGGUUUAAAGGGUGCGCAGGCGGGCGUCUAAGUCAGCGGUGAAAGUUCCCGGCUCAACCGGGUCAGUGCCGAUGAUACUGGGGGUCUUGAAUGCGGUCGAGGCCGGCGGAAUGUGGCGUGUAGCGGUGAAAUGCAUAGAUAUGCCACAGAACACCGAUAGCGAAGGCAGCUGGCCGGGCCUGCAUUGACGCUGAGGCACGAAAGCGUGGGGAUCGAACAGGGAUUAGAUACCCUGGUA
This 441-nucleotide ribosomal RNA is filed under the name uncultured Pseudosphingobacterium sp. RNAcentral describes it as "bacterial SSU rRNA". It matches the Rfam family "Bacterial small subunit ribosomal RNA", at positions 355 to 792 of the family's 1533-position model. Lineage: Bacteria; Pseudomonadati; Bacteroidota; Sphingobacteriia; Sphingobacteriales; Sphingobacteriaceae. The record is from RNAcentral.